This 253-nucleotide ribosomal RNA is filed under the name uncultured bacterium. RNAcentral's name for it is "partial 16S ribosomal RNA". It matches the Rfam family "Bacterial small subunit ribosomal RNA", at positions 524 to 776 of the family's 1533-position model. The record is from RNAcentral.
UACGUGGGGUGCGAGCGUUGUUCGGAAUUACUGGGCGUAAAGCGUGUGCAGGCGGCUUGUUAAGUCCGAUGUGAAAUCCCUGGGCUCAACCCAGGAAUUGCAUUGGAAACUAGCGAGCUGGAGUCCGGGAGAGGGUAGUGGAAUUCCUGGUGUAGAGGUGAAAUUCGUAGAUAUCAGGAGGAACACCGGUGGCGAAGGCGGCUACCUGGACCGGUACUGACGCUGAUACACGAAAGCGUGGGGAGCAGACAGG